Molecule: ribosomal RNA, 771 nt
Filed under: Triticum aestivum (bread wheat)
Lineage: Eukaryota; Viridiplantae; Streptophyta; Magnoliopsida; Poales; Poaceae
Description: partial small subunit ribosomal RNA
Source: RNAcentral
AUGUUCCUGGGCACCCAUCCGUCGAGCUCGAAGGUCAAGAAGUACUUGACGUUGAUGAGCCACACGAGGAUGCAUAUGAGGCCGAUGAUCUUGGUGAGCGCCUCGCCGAACUCGUUGAGCUUCUUCUUGAGCGGCGUGUCAUCGUCCUCCUGCGAGGCCUCGUGGAUCUGCGAGUGGAUCUUGCCGAUCUCGGUGGCCAUCCCGGUGUGCACGACGAGGCAGACGGCGGAGCCAUUGACGACGGUAGUGCCGGCGAACACCAUGCACUCCUUGGCCUGGAUGUCGGCGUCCUCGGCGGGCACGGCGUGGGCCGUCUUGUUGACGGAGUUGGUCUCGCCGGUGAGGGAGCCCUGCUCGACGCGGAGCGUGGAGGAGACGAGGAUGAGGAAGAUGACGAGCGGCUCGACGAAGGCCGAGAGCGUGAGCGCGCCGGCCGACGAGGAGAGCGCGAGCGCGAAGGAGACGGCGGCGGCGGCGAGGAGGAUGCGGACCAGCGUGUCCUCGAACUGCUGCGCCACGAGCUGCAGCACGGAGGGGCCCGGGUGCUCCAGCAGCUCGUUGGGCCCGUGCGCGCGCAGCCGCGCCGCCGCCUCCGACGACGAUAGCCCGCGGUCACGGUCCGUCCCGAACCGCUUCUCGCACUCCUCCACCGUCCGCGCCCACGCCGGGAACGGCGCCGCCAUCGCCCCCUUCCCCUCCUCCUUCACCGCCGGCGCGUCGUGCCCCGCCUCGCCCAUCGCGGACCGCGCCGAGGAAAGGAGUCGCCUUUGA